Molecule: long non-coding RNA, 4735 nt
Organism: Cydia pomonella (codling moth)
Lineage: Eukaryota; Metazoa; Arthropoda; Insecta; Lepidoptera; Tortricidae
Exons: 3
Source: RefSeq, a predicted model, not a curated record
GGAACUCCAACGCGUGCAAUUUUUCUUCGUUAAGUUUGUACCAAGUAAGGUUCUUAAGAAACAUUUUUGUCAAAGUACAGUUCUGAUGAUGGGUUUCAUGAAGAAUCGAGGGAAUUCCUAAAAUCUUAUAGGCAUACAUGUAAUAAUUUCUGGGAUUUUAUUUACAUAUCAAGCAUUUUUAUUAAAAAAUUGUCAUUUGACUAAGUGUAACAGCUGAUGUUGACCAGAAUGGAACUCGCCAACUCGCGCGCGAUUUGUUUUAUUAGUUAAGUUUGUAACAAGUAAGUUUUAAGUACUAAGGUUUUUAGGAACAUUCGUGUCAAGGUAAAGGUCUGAUGAUGGGUCCCAUGAAGAAUCGAGGGAAUUUCUUAAAUGUUAUAGGUAUAUAUAUAGUACUUAUUGGAUUUUCAUCAACAUAUUAUCAAGUUUUAUUCACAAAAGUGACAUUUGAUGAUGUGGAACUACUGAUGUUGACCAAAACGGAACUCCAACGCGCGCAAUUUUUCUUCGUUGUUAAGUUUGUAGCGAGUAAGGUUCUCAAGAAACAUUUUUGUCGAAGUACAGUUCUGAUGAUGUGUUUCAUGAGAAAGCGACGGAACUCCUCAUUCUCCUCAAUUUUUAUAGGUAUAUAGUAAUUUUGGAUUUUCAUCAAUAUCUUUAGCUUUUUUUAUUCACAUUAGUGGCAUUCAGGUUAUACCUAUUUAGGAAGCAGAGUUUCUAAUUUAAGGAAAUCUAUGUAAAUUGAUGUUUAUGAAAUAAAUUCAUUCAUUCAAUUCAUUCAUUUGAUGAAGUGGAACUAGUGAUGUUGACUAAAACGGAACUCUUCAACGCAUGAGAUUUUAUUCUUUUUUUGUUUAUUGUGAUAUAAGAGGCAAACUAGCAGACGAAUCAACUGAUGGUAAGCAAUUACCGCUGGCCAUGGACAUCUGUUACACCAUAGGGAUUGUAAGUGCGGUGCCGGCAUUUAAGAUAGGAAUACGCUCUUUCCUUAAAGUUUUAAAGAUCGUAUUGGGCCGGAAAUACCGCAUGCGACAGAUCAUUUCAUAGUUUAGCUGUAUGAGGCAGGAAGUUUCUAGAGAAAUGCACAGUUGAGGAUUGCCAACCAUCUAAGUGGUGAAGAUAUAAAUGAUGUAGCGUAAAGCGGUGACGGAAAGAGGCGGCAGAGAUUAAUCUGAACAAUUCCUCGGAACUUUUAAGUUUGUAGAAAGUAAGGUUCUUAAGAAAUAUCUGUACUAGACACCAGUGUCUAGUGUCUAGGUCUGAUGAUGGACACCUCAAACCUUAUAGAAAUACAUAUAGUUUUUUUUUUCAUCAAUAUCUCUAGGUGUUUUAUUUUAAAAAAGUUAUAUUUGAUCAAGUGGAACUGCUGAUGUUGUCCAGAACGGAACUUUUCAACGCACGCGUUUUGUAUUCUUUAUUAAGCUUGUAGCGAGUAACGUUCUUAAGGUGUAUUUAUAUCAAUAUUCAGUUCUGAUGAUGGGUUUCAUAAAUAAUCGAGGGAAUUCCUGACAUCUUAUAAUUUCUGGAUUUUUAUUUACAUAUCAAGCAUUUUUAUUAAAAUGUGACAUUUGACGAAAUGCAACAGCUGAUGCUGGCCAAAAUGGAACUCGCCAAUUCGCGCGCGAUAUGUUUUAUUUGUAGCAAGUAAAGUUCUUGAAGACAUUUGUGUCAUAAGGUCUAGUUCUGAGGAUGGGUUCCAUGAGAAAUCGAAGAAAUUCCUCAAAUCUUAUAGGCAUACAAUACAUACAGUAAUGUUUGGAUUCUCGUCAACAUAUCAAGCAUUUUUAUUUAAACAAGUUAGUGAUAUUGACCAGAACGGAACUCUUCAACGCGCGCGAUUCUUAUUAUUUGUUAAGUUUGUAGCAAGCUAGGUUCUUAGGAAACAUUUGUGUCAAGGUCCAGUUCUGAUGAUGGAUUCAAUGAGGAAUUGAGGAUUUUAAAUCGAUUUGAAUUCACAAUUAGGAGGAAUUGAGGAUUUUCGUCAACAUAUCAAGUUUUUUUUAUUUGAACAAGUGACAUUUGAUGAAGUGAAACUGCUGAUAUUACUGAAACUAUGCUGAUACUGCUGAAAUGGAACUCUUCAACGACAAGUAUUUUACCUUAGGCGUUUUUUUUUUAUUUUAUUUCGUUUAUAGCAUGUAAGGCUUUUAAGGAACAUUUGUGUCAAGGUCCAGUUCUGAUGAUAGGUUCUACGAGAAACUGAAGGAGCUUCUCAUAUUGUAUAGGAUAGGCAUACAUAUAGUCAUUUUAGGAUUUUCAUCAAUAUUACAAGCAUUUUUACUCAAUAAAGUGACAUUUGUUGAAGUAGAAUUGCUGAUGAAGAACGGAACACCUCAACGACUUCCAGAUUCUUUAUUUUUAUUACUCUUCUUUCUUUUUCAUUAUUCUUAGAACAGGUAUUUCUACGAAGUGAACCGAACUGCUACUAUUAAAAGUAGCUAGGUAGGUAUGUUAAAUAGGUUAAAACUGUAAGGAUUAUUAUGUAUAAGUAGUUUCUUUUAAUUAAACAUAGGUAAGUAAUUCUAUUUAAGUAUAAGUAUCUUUAAAAAAACAUCAAUCGACUCUUAUCUGUCACUAGUUCCAGUUUCAGAGUAUAAAAUCCGGGUACACAGCCACGGCUAGCCGGGUAGCCAGACAGUUCGAAUACGGACAAGUUAUUGUGAAUAAAAAAUCUUAUCGUCUUGCAAAAGUUAAUGUCAUAAAUGUAUAGGUUUCGAAUACAUGAAUAUAAAGUGAAAAUGCUGGUAAAAGUAUUAGUUUUUAUCAUUAACCAUUUUAUAUCCCAACAAAACUGUUACCCUUACAAAAAUAAAAUGCUUUCAUUACCUAAUGUAGGUUACGUUAGGUAAUAAAUAAAUAAAUAUGUAGGGACAAUCUUACACAGAUUGGCCCCAAACUAAUCAAAGCUUGUACUAUGGGUACUAGGCGACGUUAAACAUACCUACUUAUUUAGAUAAAUAUAUAUUUACGUAUAUACAUAGAAAACACGCAAGCCUUAGGAACAAAUAUCUGUAUUCAUCACACAAAGAAAUGCCCUUACGCGAUUCAAACUCGGGACCAUCGGCUUCAUAGGCAGGGUCACUACCCACUAGGCCAAACCGGUCGGCAAAAGGUAAAGAUAAUUAGGUAAAGACAAUGAAUAAUUAAACGUAUUAUAAAUUGACACCAAUAUCCAUCAAAUAGUAUAACUAGGUAUGCUAAGAGCGGGCUUCAGGCCAUUACGUCGCACCUUUAGAAUUAAAUUAAUUUGACUCAAAAAGUACGACUACUUUAUAUAUGUAGUUUGGUAGAACAGUAAGAACUCACUAUAUGUGUCUCUUUUUCAUGCGGUGAAAUCCCCCCACCCGGAAAGGAUAGCGACGCCCAUUUUAUCGACUCUCGAGUCGACUCCAAUCUGAUACUAAUAGUAAGUAAGUACUUACUUAGUAAGCAAAUUGUAGUAGUUUUCCCUUCUUAGUAAAAGGAAGUAUUGUAAAGAUACUACUUUUUAACCGACUUCAAAAACUUUUUUUUUGUAUAUAUGUUAAGUAAGAUCUUCGUCAUUUCUGAACCAAUGUUGAAAAUUAGUUAUCGUUUGAAAGUGGGUGUAUAGUUCCAAGAUGGUCCUAUUUUUGACAAAACCACGAGGAAUUAAGGGAACUCCCCAAAUCUUAUAGUCGUUUUUAGGGUUCCGUAGCCAAAUGGCAAAAAACGGAACCCUUAUAGAUUCGUCAUGUCCGUCUGUCUGUCCGAUUCUGUCACAGCCACUUUUUUCCGAAACUAUAAGAAACUAUACUGUUCAAACUUAGUAAGUGGAUGUAUUCUAUGAACCGCAUUAAGAUGUUCACACAAAAAUAGAAAAAAAACAAUAAAUUUUGGGGGUUCCCCAUACUUAGAACUGAAACUCAAAAAAUCUUUUUUCGUCAAACCGAUACGUGUGGGGUAUCUAUGGAUAGGUCUUUAAAAAUGAUAUUGAGGUUUCUAAUAUCAUUUUUUUCUAAAGUGAAUAGUUUGCGCGAGAGACACUUCCAAAGUGGUAACAAGUGUGUCCCCCCCCCCGUAACUUCUAAAAUAACAGAAUGAAAAAACUAAAAAAAAUAUAUGAUAUACAUUGUCAUACAAAUUUCCACCGAAAAUUGGUUUGAACGAGAUCUAGUAAGUAGUUUUUUUUUUAAUACGUCAUAAAAUUUAAAAAAAAAAAUUUUUCAUCAAACCCAUACGUGUGGGGUAUCUAUGGAUAGGUCUUCAAAAAUGAUAUUUAGGUUUCUAAUAUCAUUUUUUUCUAAACUGAAUAGUUUGCGCGAGAGACACUUCCAAAGUGAAAAAAUGUGUGUCCCCCCCCCCGUAACUUCUAAAAUAACAGAAUGAAAAAUCUAAAAAAAAUAUAUGAUAUACAUUACCAUGCAAACUUCCAACGAAAAUUAGUUUGAACGAGAUCUAGUGAGUAGUUUUUUUUUUAAAACGUCAUAUAAUUUAAAAAAAAAAUUUUUCAUCAAACCCAUACGUGUGGGGUAUCUAUGGAUAGGUCUUCAAAAAUGAUAUUUAGGUUUCUAAUAUCAUUUUUUUCUAAACUGAAUAGUUUGCGCGAGAGACACUUCCAAAAUGAAAAAAAAUUUUUUUUUUAAUUUUUAUGACGUAUUAAAAAAAAACUACUUACUAGAUCUCGUUCGAACCAAUUUUCGGUGGAAGUUUGCAUGGCAAUGUAUAUCAUAUAUUUUUUUUAGAUUUUUCAUUCUGUUAUUUUAGAAGUUACGGG